GACGAACCGUGCGAACGUUGUUCGGAAUCACUGGGCUUAAAGGGCGCGUAGGCGGGUUCGCAAGUCCGGGGUGAAAUCUUUCAGCUUAACUGGAAAAGUGCCCCUGAUACUGCGAGUCUCGAGGGAGGUAGGGGCAUGUGGAACUUCCGGUGGAGCGGUGAAAUGCGUAGAUAUCGGAAGGAACGCCGGUGGCGAAAGCGACGUGCUGGACCUCUUCUGACGCUGAGGCGCGAAAGCUAGGGGAGCAAAC
Molecule: ribosomal RNA, 250 nt
Filed under: uncultured bacterium
Lineage: Bacteria
Description: partial 16S ribosomal RNA
Rfam family: Bacterial small subunit ribosomal RNA
Source: RNAcentral